RNAcentral lists this ribosomal RNA (326 nucleotides) under uncultured eukaryote. RNAcentral's name for it is "partial 18S ribosomal RNA". It matches the Rfam family "Eukaryotic small subunit ribosomal RNA", at positions 1470 to 1796 of the family's 1831-position model. The record is from RNAcentral.
CCCUUAGAUGUUCUGGGCCGCACGCGCGCUACACUGAUGCAUUCAACAAGCCUAGCCUUGACCGAGAGGUCCGGGUAAUCUUUGAAACUGCAUCGUGAUGGGGCUAGAUUAUUGCAAUUAUUAAUCUUCAACGAGGAAUGCCUAGUAAGCGUGAUUCAUCAAAUCGCGUUGAUUACGUCCCUGCCCUUCGUACACACCGCCCGUCGCUCCUACCGAUUGAAUGUGUUGGUGAGGAGCUCGGAUUGGCAGCAGUUGGUGGUUCGCCACCGGCUAUUGCUGAGAAGUCCUCCAAACCGCCCCAUUUAGAGGAAGGAGAAGUCGUAACA